This 602-nucleotide ribosomal RNA is filed under the name uncultured bacterium ACE-42. RNAcentral describes it as "bacterial SSU rRNA". It matches the Rfam family "Bacterial small subunit ribosomal RNA", at positions 509 to 1110 of the family's 1533-position model. The record is from RNAcentral.
CAGCAGCCGCGGUAAUACGUAGGGUGCAAACGUUAUCCGGAUUUAUUGGGCGUAAAGCGCUCGUAGGUGGUUUGAAAAGUCAGAUAUUAAAUCUCCAGGCUCAACCUGGAAAAUGUAUCUGAAACUUUCAAACUCGAGGUAUGCAGGGGAAGAUGGAACACACGGUGUAGCAGUGGAAUGCGUAGAUAUCGUGUGGAACGCCAAAGGUGAAGACAAUCUUCUGGGCAUUACCUGACACUGAGGAGCGAAAGCGUGGGUAGCGAACGGGAUUAGAUACCCCGGUAGUCCACGCCGUAAACGAUGCAUACUAGACAUUUGGGGUAUCGACCCUCCGAGUGUCGAAGCUAACGCGUUAAGUAUGCCGCCUGGGUAGUACGGCCGCAAGGCUAAAACUCAAAGGAAUUGACGGGGACCCGCACAAGCGGUGGAACAUGUGGUUUAAUUCGACAAUAAGCGAAGAACCUUACCAGGACUUGACCUCUCUGGAAUCUCCUAGAAAUAGGAGAGUGCCUUUUGGAACAGAUGACAGGUGCUGCACGGUCGUCGUCAGCUCGUGCUGUGAAGUGUCGCGUUAAGUCCGUUAACGAGCGCAACCCCUAUUG